This 1550-nucleotide ribosomal RNA is filed under the name Acinetobacter baumannii. RNAcentral describes it as "partial 23S ribosomal RNA". It matches the Rfam family "Bacterial large subunit ribosomal RNA", at positions 1396 to 2925 of the family's 2925-position model. Lineage: Bacteria; Pseudomonadati; Pseudomonadota; Gammaproteobacteria; Moraxellales; Moraxellaceae. The record is from RNAcentral.
GCGAGGCCGAAAGGCGUAGUCGAUGGGAAAAUGGUUAAUAUUCCAUUACUUCUGUGUAAUGCGAUGAGAGGACGGAGAAGGCUAAAUCAGCCUGGCGUUGGUUGUCCAGGUGAAAGGAUGUAGGCAUGUAUCUUAGGCAAAUCCGGGGUACUCUAUGCUGAGAUCUGAUAGCAAGCUGUACUUGUACAGCGAAGUGGUUGAUGCCAUGCUUCCAGGAAAAGUCUCUAAGCUUCAGUUACACAGGAAUCGUACCCGAAACCGACACAGGUGGUCAGGUCGAGUAGACCAAGGCGCUUGAGAGAACUCUGCUGAAGGAACUAGGCAAAAUGGUACCGUAACUUCGGGAGAAGGUACGCUGUUGUUGGUGAUGGAACUCGCUUCCUGAGCUGACGACAGCCGCAGAAACCAGGCCGCUGCAACUGUUUAUUAAAAACAUAGCACUCUGCAAACACGAAAGUGGACGUAUAGGGUGUGAUGCCUGCCCGGUGCUGGAAGGUUAAUUGAUGGGGUUAGCGUAAGCGAAGCUCUUGAUCGAAGCCCCAGUAAACGGCGGCCGUAACUAUAACGGUCCUAAGGUAGCGAAAUUCCUUGUCGGGUAAGUUCCGACCUGCACGAAUGGCAUAAUGAUGGCGGCGCUGUCUCCAGCAGAGGCUCAGUGAAAUCGAAAUCGCUGUGAAGAUGCAGUGUACCCGCGGCUAGACGGAAAGACCCCGUGAACCUUUACUGCAGCUUGACACUGAACUUUGACCUUACUUGUGUAGGAUAGGUGGGAGGCUUUGAAGCUGGAACGCUAGUUCCAGUGGAGCCGUCCUUGAAAUACCACCCUGGUAAUGUUGAGGUUCUAACUCUGUCCCGUGAUCCGGGACGAGGACCGUGUCUGGUGGGUAGUUUGACUGGGGCGGUCUCCUCCUAAAGAGUAACGGAGGAGUACGAAGGUGCGCUCAGCGUGGUCGGAAAUCACGCGUAGAGUAUAAAGGCAAAAGCGCGCUUAACUGCGAGACCCACAAGUCGAGCAGGUACGAAAGUAGGUCUUAGUGAUCCGGUGGUUCUGUAUGGAAGGGCCAUCGCUCAACGGAUAAAAGGUACUCUGGGGAUAACAGGCUGAUACCGCCCAAGAGUUCAUAUCGACGGCGGUGUUUGGCACCUCGAUGUCGGCUCAUCUCAUCCUGGGGCUGAAGCAGGUCCCAAGGGUAUGGCUGUUCGCCAUUUAAAGAGGUACGCGAGCUGGGUUUAGAACGUCGUGAGACAGUUCGGUCCCUAUCUACCGUGGGCGCUGGAAAUUUGAGAGGAUCUGCUCCUAGUACGAGAGGACCAGAGUGGACGAACCUCUGGUGUACCGGUUGUGACGCCAGUCGCAUCGCCGGGUAGCUAUGUUCGGAAGGGAUAACCGCUGAAAGCAUCUAAGCGGGAAGCCUACCUCAAGAUAAGAUUUCCCUAGGACUUUAUGUCCUCUAAAGAGCCGUUCGAGACUAGGACGUUGAUAGGUUGGAUGUGGAAGCAUAGUGAUAUGUGAAGCUGACCAAUACUAAUUGCUCGUGAGGCUUGACUAU